AGAGUUUGAUCCUGGCUCAGGACGAACGCUUGCGGCGUGCCUAAGAAAUGCAAGUCGAGCGGGGCAAUGUUCCAUUGAGGGUUUAGGGUCUAGGGUCUAGGGUAUAGGGUAAGAGUCAAACGGUUUUUACCCUAAACCCUAAACCCUAUCCCCUAUACCCUGAAUGGAGCAUUGCCUAGCGGCGAACGGUCGCGUAACACGUAAGCAACCUGCCCCGAAGACCGGGACAACAUUCCGAAAGGGGUGCUAAUACCGGAUGUGGCCACUGAUAUGCAUGUAUUGGUGAUUAAAGCCUGCACAAGGGCUUCGGGAGGGGCUUGCGGCCUAUCAGCUAGUUGGUGGGGUAACGGCCUACCAAGGCGACGACGGGUAGCUGGUCUGAGAGGAUGUCCAGCCGGACUGGGACUGAGAUACGGCCCAGACUCCUACGGGGGGCAGCAAUUAGGAAUCUUGCGCAAUGGGCGAAAGCCUGACGCAGCGACGCCGCGUGGGGGAGGAAGGCCUUCGGGUUGUAAACCCCUUUUAUCAGGGAAGAAUACAAUUGACGGUACCUGAUGAAUAAGCCACGGCUAACUCCGUGCCAGCAGCCGCGGUAAUACGGAGGUGGCGAGCGUUGUCCGAAGUUACUGGGCGUAAAGCGCGCGUAGGCGGGCUGUUAAGUGAGGGGUGAAAGGCUGAGGCUCAACCUCAUGUUUGUCCUCUCAUACUGGCAGUCUUGAGUGAGGUAGGGAGAAGUGGAAUGGCUGGUGUAGCGGUGAAAUGCGUAGAUAUCAGUCGGAACACCGGUGGCGAAGGCGGCUUCUUGGACCUUAACUGACGCUGAGGCGCGAAAGCUGGGGGAGCGAACGGGAUUAGAUACCCCGGUAGUCCCAGCCGUAAACGAUGGAUACUAGGUGUCGGGGGUAUCGACCCCUCCGGUGCCGCAGCUAACGCAUUAAGUAUCCCGCCUGGGGAGUACGGCCGCAAGGUUGAAACUCAAAGGAAUUGACGGGGGCCCGCACAAGCGGUGGAGCAUGUUGUUUAAUACGUCACUAACCGUAGAACCUUACCAGGGCUUGACAUCUCUGGACCGCCGGUGAAAGCCGGUUUUCCCCGCAAGGGGACUAGAAGACAGGUGUUGCAUGGCUGUCGUCAGCUCGUGUCGUGAGAUGUUGGGUUAAGUCCCGCAACGAGCGCAACCC
This 1181-nucleotide ribosomal RNA is filed under the name uncultured bacterium. Its description in RNAcentral is "bacterial SSU rRNA". It matches the Rfam family "Bacterial small subunit ribosomal RNA", at positions 8 to 1104 of the family's 1533-position model. The record is from RNAcentral.